CAAAACAUCAGCAAAAAUGAAUAUCAAUUCACCGGAUGGCAGUCAAACGACCGAUUUGACCACCAUAAACCCUAGAGGUUGAAAACUCACCGAAAAAUCUCCGAAAAUCUCACAAAAAUCGAUUGAACCGUUCAAGAGACGAAGAACAGUCACUGAUCGUGAAGAUAAGGCUCGGAAGAACCCUAAUGGGAGUCAAAACCAUCACCGACCUUUCGAUCUCAGAAAACC
RNAcentral lists this long non-coding RNA (228 nucleotides) under Nicotiana benthamiana. RNAcentral describes it as "long non-coding RNA (NBEN_LNC008300)". Lineage: Eukaryota; Viridiplantae; Streptophyta; Magnoliopsida; Solanales; Solanaceae. The record is from RNAcentral.